This 922-nucleotide long non-coding RNA is filed under the name Trifolium pratense (red clover). RNAcentral's name for it is "long non-coding RNA (TPRA_LNC000630)". Lineage: Eukaryota; Viridiplantae; Streptophyta; Magnoliopsida; Fabales; Fabaceae. The record is from RNAcentral.
GUCCUUCUUCUCCGACGCCGGUUGUUUUCUUCUUUGUUUUCGUCCUCUAUUUUGUUCUUCUUGGAGUUUCGGCUGUCCAAAACCACACCUCUGCUUUUUCGACGGUUGUUGCCGGCGNNNNNNNNNNNNNNNNNNNNNNNUGGUCGUUGUUUCGGCGCGGUUCUGGUGGUCUUGAGGGGUUUUGGUGUCGGUUUUGUGUGGGUUUGGCGCGGAUUUGGCCUCCAUGGUGGUGAGAUUCGGGUGCUUAUGGGGUGGUGAUGUUGUUGUAGUCACAGCAAUGGUUGUUGUUGUGAUUCCGCGGAUCUUGCGCCGUUUUUUAUGGUGUUGGUGUCGUUUCACGUUUUUCUGUUCUGUUUUUGUUCCAGUGGUUGGCGUGGUGUUUUGGAUCUUGCGAUGGGUCAGAGUAAAAAAAAUAGAUUCUUUACUCAAAUAUCUUAAGCAGCUCAAGUAGAUUCUCUGUAUUUUUUAUUUGUUGUUGUUAGCUUGGUUAAAUUUCUAUUUUUCUUUUCAACUUUCAAUUUCAUGCUUUUCAAUUUGUUUAUCUUGUCAACAUGAUGGGUUAAAUGAUAAUAAUACAUAAUUUUCCUUCUUCUUGAGGGAUAUUUGUACUUCUCUAGUUAAUUUGACACAUUAAUAUGUUUUUAUUUAUUGUUGUUUCUAGUUUUAGUUUGUUUUAUAGAAUCACUUAUAACAUAUGUUGUGUUUGUUAUCUUAUAUGCAGGAUCGAUGUCAAUGAAGUUAGGGCAUUUAGAAGAAGACAUUACUAUAUAUAUUAAUUAAAUUUUACUGUCAUAAAUCAUAUAUUUAUAGAAACAAGAGCAUUAUGUAAUUUUGGAUAUGUAGUUUUUAAAUUUCUAUUAGAUAUUAUCAAUUUUCUGCAAAUUUCGUAUGUGUUGUUUUGAACUUUCUAUUAGAGAUUACC